UGGGCAUCACUGAGGGCUACUUAAAAGUUUGUCUACUACACAGAGAAAAUGGCAGGACUUAAAAAAUUACAUUGUGUUCUCUGUGCUAUAGGCAACAGACUUCAGGUACAUAAUAGAAAAGUUAGUUUUUCUUUUUUUUGAGCCAUGUGGAGUGGUUACUGGAGAGAAAUUCAGUCAGUUUUCAUCAAUAGGUCCACUGGGAUUGCAUCUGGCUCACGAAGUGUAAACCCCAUGUACUGUAAAGAGAAGAUCAAGGGCAGCGUUGGCACUAAGUGGUUGUUCAAAAGGUUCCAACUGUUCUACGUUUUCAAAAACAGAAUGUCCAGGCUUUCAUUGUACUCUACAGAGCAUUGGGGGAGAGGAAAAUUGAAGGUGGCAGAAAGGGCUCAAGUGGCCUCUAUAAGAAAGAUAAUUUGGAGAUCUGGUGAACGGAAAGCAAGAAUAUGGGUGGUUGGAAGAAGUUGUAGCCCAGUUACCAGGAGGGCCUACCAGAUAUCAAGACUUAUUAUAAAGCCAGAGUAAUUGCAAUGGUGUGGUUUUGGUGCAGAGAAAGACACACUGAUCAACGCAACAGCAUAGAGGGCCCAGCAAUAUCUCACACACAUGAGGCAAUCUGAUACAAGGAAGAGGUGGCAUUGCAGAUGACUAAGGAGGUGAGUGAGUGAGUGUGUCUCUCAUUAAAUAUGUUGAUUGAGAUAAUGGGCUAUCCACAUGGGAAAAAAAA
Molecule: long non-coding RNA, 724 nt
Filed under: Rhinopithecus bieti (black snub-nosed monkey)
Lineage: Eukaryota; Metazoa; Chordata; Mammalia; Primates; Cercopithecidae
Description: lncRNA (ENSRBIG00000045137.1)
Source: RNAcentral